RNAcentral lists this ribosomal RNA (254 nucleotides) under uncultured bacterium. Its description in RNAcentral is "partial 16S ribosomal RNA". It matches the Rfam family "Bacterial small subunit ribosomal RNA", at positions 524 to 776 of the family's 1533-position model. The record is from RNAcentral.
UACGUAGGGUGCAAGCGUUAUCCGGAAUUAUUGGGCGAAAAGAGCUCGUAGGCGGUUUGUCGCGUCUGCUGUGAAAACUGGAGGCUCAACCUCCAGCCUGCAGUGGGUACGGGCAGACUAGAGUGCGGUAGGGGAGAUUGGAAUUCCUGGGUGUAGCGGUGGAAUGCGCAGAUAUCAGGAGGAACACCGAUGGCGAAGGCAGAUCUCUGGGCCGUAACUGACGCUGAGGAGCGAAAGCAUGGGGAGCGAACAGG